GAUGAUUGAUUCAGUUAUUAAAAGCGAUUAUUAUAGGAUUACGAUUAGAAUGUGGAAAUUAGUAGCAAUUAUAUGGGAGUUGUAGAAGUUUGUUGGAAGGCCUGACUGUGAUAGUCAUGAAUCGAGAUUAAGCUUGGUGCUUCUUCUUUAUUUUUUUUUUUGUUUUGUUUUCUUUGUUGUUGAAGAGUAAUGGAUCAUUUUUGAAUACUAAGAAGUGAGUGUGUGGAAUAAAUCAAAGAUUGAUUUAUGAAUUAUUGAUUAUGUAAUUGGAGUAUUUAGUGAUUGAAUUCUAUAAGUAGUUAUUGGAAGAUUGAUUAUGGAUGGAAGAUUAUGAUUGUUGUUUAUUAAGAGUUGUGUAUGUGUGUUUUGACAGAGGAAAUCUAUGAUUACAGAAAUUCUGUGAAUUCAAAUUGGUUGAAAUUAAGUUUGUUAUUCCUGGUGUUGGAUGGAAUUUAUUGAAUUUUGAGUGAUCUUUUGAGAUUGCACGGUUGUACAUUGUGGUUAUCAAUUGAUGAAGGAGUAUUGUUAAUUAGAGGAAGCAUUGUAGUAUUUUUUAGUAUUUUAGUGGUCCCGAAUAUAGUUUAUUGUGUGACCUU
RNAcentral lists this long non-coding RNA (596 nucleotides) under Physcomitrium patens. Its description in RNAcentral is "long non-coding RNA (PPAT_LNC013156)". The record is from RNAcentral. Lineage: Eukaryota; Viridiplantae; Streptophyta; Bryopsida; Funariales; Funariaceae.